This is a small nuclear RNA of Carcharodon carcharias (great white shark), 143 nucleotides long. RefSeq annotates it as U4 spliceosomal RNA. The record is from RefSeq and is a predicted model, not a curated record. The transcript has a single exon. Lineage: Eukaryota; Metazoa; Chordata; Chondrichthyes; Lamniformes; Lamnidae.
AUCCAUUUGAGCAGUGGCAGUAUUGUAGCUGAUGAGGUUUAACCGAGGCGCGAUUAUUGCUUCAUGAAAACUUUUCCCAAUACCCCACUUUGACGACAUGAAAUAUAGUCGGCAAAGGCAAUUUUUGACAUUUAAAAAAGAAA